GUAUCAUAUGCAAUUCAGAUGUUCUGUUUUCUCCAAUGAGCGAUGGACUCCCAGUAAUAUUUUCACCAGUUGUAGAAUCCAACGACAGUGUCAUCCACGAAGACAGUAAUCUUAAUGUGGACUUUGAUGCAGCCACAUGUAGGAUGGCGGGCGUAUCAACCAUGUGGAAGAUUGAAUUGAGGCCAACAGCGCGAGGAUUCGUUGUGACCACAGGAGGUGUUGCUGGUUUGAAUCGGUUUAAGAUCACCAAGUAUGAAGGUGGUAAUAAUUUGUAUCAGCUUUCUUACUGUCCAAUUUCCGAACCCAUAUGUGAAUGCUCAUGCGUCCCACUAGGCAAAGUUGUCAAUCGCUUGGCUCCCAGUACCGUCCCUUUUCCUGUUGUGUUUGUACCAUCCGAUAGAGCUUCUAAAAUCGAGUAUAAAAUGAUGUAAGAAUGAUAUAGAUCAGUGCUGCAAUCCUGAAUGAGGGAGCUCGAUUGCCUGCUAUGGUCAUGUGUUGGGCAUCAAUAACUCUUGAAUAAAUACGAAGCUCUUUCGCUUUGGCUUUUGCUUGAUUUUCACGUUCUCUCCAUAUGUAUACUACGUUUGUUGCUUGAUGAUUACCUUGACUCUCACAGCAUUAAAGCAUGAUAAUUCCUUACCUUCUUCUUUUCAAGAAUUACAUUAUACAUCAUCAUCAAAUUUAAAUUUCGAUGAAAAACUAAAAUAUGUAUUGACUUUUCUUUUAGCUUUUUCACUUUUUUUUUUCCUUUUCCUUUUCCCUAUUCUUUUCCCCUCUUUCUGCUUUCCCUUUGCUCUCUUCUUUAUCCCUGAACAUCUCCUCUAUUCUAUUCUCUUGUUCAUAACAAUUAUCCCUUCUCUCUUCAUCUCUUCUCUCUUUUUAAAUAAGAUCUCUUGAUUAUGUAAAACAUUUUAUGUCUCAUAGUCGGGACAUUGCUGGGACUGAGGAUUCCCUUUCAACAUCCUGUGAUGAGAAGAAAAGGCCGGGGUUGUUGUGCCAAAAAGACGAAAAUAAACAGGACCAAAUUAAGGAAAUUUAGGAAGCGUGGCUACUAGAUCUAUGGUUGGUCGCAUGAGUAUAGAUCUAUGGUUGAUCGAAUGCCAUAGUUAUGGUUAGAACCUGUACAAAAUUCUUUAAGGUCAGCAUGCCUAAACUGAGCUCCCUGAUAGCCUUCAAUGCACUCUGUUUUUACCAUUUUCCUUUUUCGAGUUCACUUGGUGUUCUUAUCUCUUUCAUAAAAUACAAUCUUGUCUACAAUCCUCAGUUUCUAACUUCACUAUAUCGAAAGGAUCACGCCAAAGGAUCUGUUGUCCUUUACACAACGUGAGCACCAUGCGGUUGAAUCCUCAGAAUACUGCUUCUUUAUAGCAUAGGUUUCCCCAAGUUGAUGCGACAAGUUGCAUUAGCAAGAUCUGUGAUGGGAACAUCAGAACCUGGACUAUCAAUUUUUUGUUGAUUUUGUGACAGAGGUGACUAAUGAAGUUUCUUGAGGAUUUAGAGUGGGAAAGAGCUCGGAAGGCUUUCUCAUUGCCCUUUGUAUUUGGGUCCGAAUAUAAGGUAAGCUGGGGGUGGAAGCCUUUCGGGUCCUUGGAUUGCUGGUGGUAUCAUCCAGAGUUUAGAAGCUUAGAUGAGAGGUCUCUUCUGUUCAGCCACGUCGUUUUAGGAUCAUAAAGAGGCUGAGGCUACUAAAGAAAAACUCAAGGAUUGGAUUCGUACUUUUGGAUAAGCAACCGACAGAGGCAAAAUUGCUCAUUAAUGAUAUGGACCACGUGGCUGAAACUAGAGCAGUUUCAGACAUGGCUCCCCAAGAUGCGGAUCAAUUCAUAUUUUUUAGUUGGUUCAUAUCGAGUUAAUUUUCUUUUUGUUUUUAUUAAAAUUCAGUCUAAUCUAAAUGUCGAAAUCAUUGGUCGGCAUAUUAGCUAAAGUCAGGUUUUAAAUCAAUAGUUUCAGAAUAAUAAUUAGUAGCUUUGAAAUCUUAUCCAACAAGCUCUGAAAUCUUUUAGUUGGUCAUAUUAGGUUAAUUUUCUUUCUAUUUUUAUUGAAACUUGGUCUAAUCUAGACUUUCAAAUCACCGAAAUCACACGUCAACAUGUUUGCUCAAGUAAGGUUUUAAAUCAAUGCUUUUCAGAAUUAUAAUUAUCAGCUUUGAAAUAUCAUCCAACGAAGCUCUGGAAUUAUAAUUAUCAUGUAAUAAUAUAAGCAAAUUUCAAGUUGAAGGAAACUUUUAUACCAUAUGGAGAUGAUGAUAAAGAUGUAAAAUUAAGAAUGAAGGGAGCUAGAGUAUCGAACCAAUCUCUUACAUCAUGUGAAAUGAGGAUAAAGACUUUAGCUCUAAAAAAGAUUUAAAAUUAUGGAUGAAGACAAGACUACAUUUUUCUUGGAUACUACAUCUUGUCUUGGUUACAUGAACGAGACUUUUUUUUUUUUUUUGUUCUUAUAUUCUUGAAUUACAUUUAUGUUAGGUAGCCUGCAACUUUAGACUUCCUAUGCAACCUAUUUUGAAUAGCCACCCCUGCGUUUAAUUUAUAUUAUAACUUAUUACGCACGAGCAGAACACUUCUGUUGAAUGAAUCGAGCAAGUGGUCCGAGUGGCCAGAGCUCCAAACCUCCAAGACAACUCUUUGCCGUAGGCUGUCAUUUGUCGUCUUGUAAUUAACAGCUCUUCCGACACAUCAGCUAGAAGACAAGAUAAUAUUGGGAUAACUAAUAUACAGAUCUCAGCAAUGAAAUCGAUAAACAAUUUAGUGCAAGAAAACAGGGAUAGAGUUGAGACUCAUUCUGUUUUAUCCCAAAGCCAUAUGCUUUUUUAGCUUACAAAUCUAAUACGGAAAUAUUAUCCAAUAUUAGAUUGGCAACACCUUUUAUAAAACUUUAGGCAUAAGUUUUUGGCAAAUUUCUUUUUUGGUCCAUAUAGUUUUACAAUUAUAUAUAUGGAUUAGUCUAAAAUGUUAUUUUAUUCUCAUUCAAUUCCUAACUUUAAAGGAGAAAAUAGAGAGCGUAACCAUAUUAUAGCAAAUAAAAAAGGAAGUGGACGAGACAACAGGUUUUUGGCUAUGGAACUUGUUGAUCUUUGUAUUAUUCUAUUCCAUUCAAUAAGAAAAAUUUCGUUCAUAUAUUUAGAGUUUUAUUUUGUUUAAAAAAUAAAUCAGGGUUAAAAAAUUAAUUUUUUCUCUGGUUAGAUUUUUUUGAGAUCAUUUUGAGGAUUUUUGAGUUGGUUAAUGUGUUGUAAGACAUUCUAGGAGUGUUUAUUGAAUGUUUAAAGAUUAAAAUGGGUUAAAAAUAUAUUUUAUAGAUAAAAAUAGCAUCCCUAGAUGUUUUCUGAGUAGCGAACACUGUUAUUAAACCCGGCUUGGCCCGGCGGGUCGAUCCAGUAGCUGGACCAGUCCGGGUUUAAUAAAAGACAGGCUGUGACAACAGUUCGGGACCCGGGCGAACCCAGACGAUACCCGGUUUUUUUUUUUUAAAUGUGGGAUUUGAAACCCAUUAGUAUAUAUAUUCUAUGUUCCUAAAAAAAAAAUUUAUUUUUUAUUUUUUAUUUUUAUUUCUCUAACCAAACAUGUUUGUUUUCGCAUUAUCUUUAUUAAUUUCUUCUUUCUUAAAAAACUAACUAAACACUAUUCUUUUUUUUUUACUGUAAUAGUAACUAAACCAUGCCUUAAAAAACUAGAAAUUAGGGACUUGAUUUUUUAUGGAAAAAAUUAUAAAUCCCAUCACUAAUCAUCUGCGUUUAAGUGGUCGGAUUUUAUAAUCUAAUAUAAGCACGAGAAAAACAAUUUUGUGGGAUAAAUCAAGUAAGCAAGUGGUCCAAGAGGCAAGAGCUCCAAAGCCCAAACCUACCCGACAAGUCUCUGUCAGAGGACAAUAAUUUGUAGUUUCGUCGAGCAAGUGGCACUCGUUUAAUUAAUUGUAACUAAUAAUCCAAAUCCUUUCUCCCUAUAAAUUCAUGGUCUCUGUUCAAUCUUUGAACACAUCAACAACAAGACUCAAUAUUGGGAUAUAACUAUUACUUAUCAGAUUCAACAAUGAAGAUGACUAACUUUCUAGUGCUCUCCUUUCUUCUCUUUGCCUUCACGGCAACUUCAAUAUUUCCUCGUGCCGUUCAUGCUGAAGCAGUGAUCGAUGUCUUCGGUGAUGAGGUUAGAACUGGUGAUCGUUAUAUCAUCGGAGCCGCUUCGAAUGACUUUGCGGUCACUUCCAGCCGUAUCAUAUGCAAUUCAGAUGUUAUGUUUUCUCCAAUGAGCGAUGGACUCCCAGUAAUAUUUUCACCAGUUGUAGAAUCCAACGACAGUGUCAUCCACGAAGACAGUUAUCUGAAUGUGGACUUUGAUGCAGCCACAUGUAGGAUGGCGGGUGUAUCAACCAUGUGGAAGAUUGAAUUGAGGCCAACAGCGCGAGGAUUCGUUGUGACCACAGGAGGUGUUGCUGGAUUGAAUCGGUUCAAGAUCACCAAGUAUGAAGGUGGUAAUAAUUUGUAUCAGCUUUCUUACUGUCCAAUUUCCGAACCCAUAUGUGAAUGCUCAUGCGUCCCACUAGGCCAAGUUGUCAAUCGCUUGGCUCCCAGAACCAUCCCUUUUCCUGUUGUGUUUGUACCAUCCGAUAGAGCUUCUAAAAUCGAGUAUAAAAUGAUGUAAGAAUGAUAUAGAUCAGUACUGCAAUCCUGAAUGAGCUAGGGAGCUCGAUUGCCUGCUAUGAUCAUGUGUUGGGCAUCAAAUAAUUCUUGAAUAAAUACGAAGCUCUUUGGCUUUGGCUUUUGCUUGAUUUUCACGUUCUCUCCGUAUGUAUACUACGUUUGUUGCUUGAUGAUUACCUUGACUCUCACAGCAUUAAAGCAUGAUAAUUCCUUACCUUCAUCUUUUCAAGAAUUACAUUACACAUCAUCAUCAAAUUUAAAUUUCGAUGAAAAACUAAAAUAAGUAUUGACUUUUCUUUUAGCUUUUUCACUUUUUUUUUCCUUUUCCUUUUCCCUAUUCUUUUCCCCUCUUUCUCCUUUCCCUUUGCUCUCUUCUUUAUCCCUGAACAUUUACUCUCUUUACUUUCCUGUUCAUAACAAUUACCCCUUCUCUCUUUUUAAAAUUAGAUCUCUUGAUUAUGUAAAACAUUUUAUGUCUCAUAGUCGGGACAUUGCUGGGACUGAGGAUUCCCUUUCAACAUCCUGUGAUGAGAAGAAAAGGCCGGGAUUGUUGUGCCAAAAAGACGAAAUAAACAGGACCAAAUUAAGGAAAUUUAGGAAGCGUGGCUACUAGAUCUAUGGUUGGUCGCAUGAGUAUAGAUCUAUGGUUGAUCGCAUGCCAUAGUUAUGGUUAGAACCUGUACGAAAUUCUUUAAGGUCAGCAUGCCUAAACUGAGCUCCCUGAUAGCCUUCAAUGCACUCUGUUUUUACCAUUUUCCUUUUACGAGUUCACUUGGUGUUCUUAUCUCUUUCAUAAAAUAGCAUCUUGUCUACAAUCCUCAGUUUCUAACUUCACUAUAUCGAAAGGAUCACGCCAAAGGAUCUGUUGUCCUUUACACAACGUGAGCAGCAUGCGGUUUAAUCCUCAGAAUACUGCUUCUUUAUAGCAUGCGUUUCCCCAAGUUGAUGCGACAAGUUGCAUUAGCUAGAUCUGUAAUGGGAACAUCAGAACCUGGACUAUCAGUUUGUUGUUGAUUUUGUGACAGAGGUGACUAAUGAAGUUUCUUGAGGAUUUAGAGUGGGAAAGAGCUCGGAAGGCUUUCUCAUUGCCCUUUGUAUUUGGGUCCGAAUAUAAGGCAAACUGGGUUCGGUCCUUGGAUUGCUGGUCGUAUCAUCCAGAGUUUAUAAGAAGCUUAGCUGAGAGCAUGUGGGUGGGUGGAGCCUGGAGGUCUCUUCUGUUGAGCCACGUCGUUUUAGGUUCAGAAAGAGGCUGGGGCUACUAAAGAAAAACUCUAGGAUUGGAUUCGUACUUUUGGAUAAGAACCUGACAGAGGCAAAAUUGCUCCUUAGUGAUAUGGACCACGUGGCUGAAACUAGAGCAGUUUCGGACAUGGCUUUUAAACUAGAGCACGUCUCAUGUCAAAGUCAGAUGAAUUUUCCCAGGUCGAAAGGCUAACCAAGUUGCGAUCAAUCCAUAUCUUUUAGUCGGUCAUAUUAGAUUAAUUUUUUAUUUAUUGAAACUUGGUCUAGUCACCGAAAUCACUUAUCAGCAUGUUUGGUCAAGUUUGGUUUUAAAUCAAUGCUUUCAGAAUUAUAAUUUUCAUGUAAUGAUACAAGCAAAUUUCAAGUUCAAGGAAACUUUUAUUCUUAGAGGGUUUGUUUCAGAAUACGAUACCAUACGGAAAUGAUGAUAAAGAUGUAAAAUUAAGAAUCAAGAGAGCUAAUCAUCUAAGUGGUGAUGCAGUGGUAAAAGCUUGAGAUAAAAAGAUUUGCUCCCUUUGUGGUCUCAGGUUCGAGUCCUGUGGUUGCUCAUAUAAUGAUCACUGGAGACUUACAUGAUCGUUACUUCAGGACCCGUGGGAUUAGUCGAGGUACACACAAGCUAGUCCGGAUAUUCACAUUAAACUAAAAAAAAAAAAAGAAAUGAAGGGAGCUAGAGUAUCGAACCAAUCUCUUAUACCAUGUUAAAUGAGGAUAAAGACUUUAGCUCUAAAAAAGAUUUAAAAUUAUGGAUGAAGACAAGACUACAUUUUUCUUGGAUACUACAUCUUGUCUCGGUUACAUGAACGAGACUUUUUUUUUUUCUUAUAUUCUUGAAUUACAUUUGCUGAAUGAAGAGCUACCUAUUAAUUUAUACAAGGGAGUAGCCUACCAUUUAUGUUAGGUAGCCUGCAACUUUAGACUUCCUAUGCAACCUAUUUUGAAUAGCCACCCCUGCGUUUAAUUUAUAUUAUAACUUAUUAAGCACGAGCAGAACACUUCUGUGGAAUGAAUCGAGCAAGUGGUCCGAGAGGCCAGAGCUCCAAACCUCCAAGACAACUCUUUGCCGUAGGCUGUCAUUUGUCGUCUUGUAAUUAACAGCUCUUCCGACACAUCAGCUAGAAGACAAGAUAAUAUUGGGAUAACUACUAUACUGAUCUCAGCAAUGAAAUCGAUAAACAAUUUAGUGCAAGAAAACAGGGAUAGAGUUGAGACUCAUUCUGUUUUAUCCCAAAGCCAUAUGCUUUUUUAGCUUACAAAUCUAAUACGGAAAUAUUAUCCAAUAGCAGAGAGUGUUUUUACAUUUAUUUAUCAAUUAAAUUAAAUUAAAUUACAUCAUUAAAAGUGCAAGAUUAAAAUGAAAACAAAAAUCAUUAUUUGUGAAUAAUCAAAACCUUAUUUUAAUUGAAAUAAAAUGAUUAUUUAUGUGAUACACACUAGCUACUAGAAAACUGGAAAGUAGUGAUAAGAUUUUUUAUGGAAAAAUUUAUAAAUUCCAUCACUAAUUAAUCAUCUCUGCGUUUAAUUGAUCGGAUCUUAAUUAUAACCCAAUAAGCACGAGCAGAACACUUUUGUGAAAUGAAUCAAAGAAAGCAAGUGGGGCAAGUUGGCUAAUCGAGUUCUGCGCGCAAGAGGCUGCUUCGAACCUAGACGACAACUUAAUCAAUACGAGUGAAACACUAUAGUUUAUAUUUUUGUGGAACUAGAGGCACAUGUUUUUAAUUAAUUGUAAAAAAUAAUCGAAAUGCCUUCUCCCCUAUAAAUCCAUGCUCUCUGUGCAUUCUUCCACCACAACAAUAACGAGAAACAAUACUGAGAUAAUUAACUAACACUCAUCAUAUUUUCAACAAUGAAGAUCACCAAGUUUGUAGUGCUCUCCUUUCUUCUCUUUGCCUUCACAGCAACUUCAAUAUUUCCUCAUGCUGUUCAUGCAGAAGAUCCUGAAGCAGUGAUCGAUGUCAACGGUAAUGAGGUGACAGCUGAUGCUCGUUAUUUCAUCGGAGCCGCUUCGGAUGAUAAUACAACAACUCUUGCGGUCUCUGCGACUAGCCAGAUCAUAUGCAAUUCAGAUGUUAUACUUUCCUCAAUGAGCAAUGGGCUCCCAGUAACAUUUUCAUCACCAGUUGGAGAAUCCAACGACGGUGUCAUCCGCGAAGACAGUUAUCUGAAUGUGAACUUUGAUGCAGCCACAUGUAGGAUGGCGGGCGUAUCAACCAUGUGGAAGAUGGAGUUGAGGCCAACAAUGCGAGGAUUCGUUGUGACCACAGGAGGUGUUAAUGGAUUGAAUCGGUUCAAGAUCACCAAGUAUGAAGGUGGUAAUAAUUCGUAUCAGCUUUCUUACUGUCCAAUUUCCGACCCCAUGUGCGAAUGCUCAUGCGCAUGCGUCCCACUUGGCAACGUUGUCGAUCGCUUGGCUCCCAGCACCAUCCCUUUUCCUGUUGUGUUUGAACCAGUUGCAGAUAAAAGCUCCUGAAAUCGAGUAUAAAAUGAUGCAAGAAUGAUAUCGAUCACUACUGCCAUCCUGAAUGAGGAAGCUCACUGUCAUGGGUUGGGCAUAAAUAAAUUUUAAAUAAAUACGAAGCUUUUUAGCUUUAGCUUUCCCUUAAUGUACUUGUUGUCUCCAUUAAUAUAAUACGUUUUUUUCUUUAUCUUGUCACUUGAAAAUCAUCUGAUUACUACGAUCAUAGUUUGAUAUCAUCUAAAUGUUCGGAACCAAAUGUUAAUUAUGCUGUUUUUAUUUUUAUUUUAUUUUUUUUGCAUAUUUUUAAUGGUUUUUAGGUAUAAUUAAGUAUAAAACUAUAUUUUGACAAAUACCUUCUUUAACUGAUCAAACAAUUGUAAAACCAAAAAGUUUCAAUCUUUUGACAAAUACCGGCCCUUUUUUUUUUUUUUUUGGGGGAGGUGUCAACGCCUUUUAUAAAACUUUAGGCAUAAGUUUUUGGCAAAUUUCUUUUUUGGUCCAUAUAGUUUUACAAUUAUAUGGAUUAGUCUAAAAUGUUAUUUUAUUCUCAUUCAAUUCCUAACCUUAAAGGAGAAAAUAGAGAGCGUAACCAUAUUAUAGCAAAUAAAAAAGGAAGUGGACGAGACAACAGGUUUUUGGCUAUGGAACUUGUUGAUCUUUGUAUUAUUCUAUUCCAUUCAAUAAGAAAAAUUUCGUUCAUAUAUUUAGAGUUUUAUUUUGUUUAAAAAAUAAAUCAGGGUUAAAAAAUUAAUUUCUUCUCUGGUUAGAUUUUUUUGAGAUCAUUUUGAGGAUUUUUGAGUUGGUUAAUGUGUUGUAAGCCAUUCUAGGAGUGUUUAUUGAAUGUUUAUAGGUUAAAAUGGGUUAAAAAUAUAUUUUAUAGAUAAAAAUAGCAUCCCUGGAUUUUUUUCUGAGUAGCGAACGAUGCGCUAACUUUCUUUCUUUUUUAACUUCGUCCACCCAUCUUGAAACUUUUGAAAACUAAAGCCAAGUGCUUGGGCAUGCAUCCUAUGAUAGGCCCACGAGUUGGGCCUUGUUGUUGCUGGGUUAUGUGUGUUGGGCCUUUCAGGCUAUUAUUAAUUUCUUUAAUUAAUUUAGAAUUCAUUUAGGCUAUUAUUUUUUUAGAAACACUGUUAAAAUUUUAGUUAGUUUUUGAAUAAGAUUAAUGUUGUCUUUUUUCUUUUACUGAAUGUUUUUUUUACAGCCUUUCAUAUUUGAUUUUAAGAAAACUACUCGAUGAGUUUUAUAUGAGUGUGUAUUUUUAUUAUUAUAUUGCUAAAUAAAAAACAGUUUCAAAAAAAUAAAAUAAUUGAACCAAGUCGGAUUCAUUAUUUUAAUAUUUUAAAAAAUUAAACUGAUUUUAUUUUUGAAAAAAAUUAAAUCUUUCUCGUUGCUUAAUAUUAAAGAAUCAAUUAACCUAAAAGUUUAAGCUGUAAGGUAAGGUUCUAAGAUAUGAUUUAUAUUAUUCUCUAAUACACGUCUUGAAGUAAAAGCUCUUUGGAUUUGAAACUUGCACAGACUUAUAAUACUUUGUAAUUGAUUUUUAUCAAAUAAAGAGGGAUUGUGAAAUUUGAUUUUGUGAUUACUUGGUCAUUAAAAUUCUGAUAUUAUAUCAAAAAACCAAUUAAACCUAAAAACUUAAGCUAUUAGGUAAAAUUCUAAGAUAUAAUUUAUAUCAUUCUCUAAUAUUUAAAAAUGUAUUAAUAGCACAUGUAUAUUUUUUCCGACCUACAUUCGAUUAUUGUUUUCCAUAAUUAAAAUUUCUCGUUGGUAUCUCUUACGAACCAAGUCUUUCCGCACUGGAUAAGCCUCUCAUCACAACAUUGCCUCAUGGACUAGAAGACAAAUUUCCUGACUUGAAAUCUAAGAGGGAGAUGAGACAAUUUAGAGUAGGAUGCAGCUAAAUUAACAAAUAUAUUUUCCUAUUAUAUUAAUUAUUAAUAUCGACUUGAAAAGGUUACAAUAAUUAUUUUUAAAGAUGAGAAGUAUUUUUACAAUGAGUUUAGCAAUAACCUUUUCAUAAUAAGAUUCAAUGGUUUUAUUAUUAUUAGUUUUAAUUGAGAUUAUUUAUGGAGCCGGCAUAGAAAAACUAUUUGUGUGGAUUUUGUUCAAUUCUGUCUGUGCAUAUAUCAUAUUUUGAAACCCGAUCCAGUUUAGCGAGUCGACUCGGGAUCUGAAUAGAGAAAAGAAAAACCCGGUAUAACCUGGUUGAUCCAAUAAGACCCGGUUAUAACUCGUUAAUUUUUUUUUUAUCAAAACAACAUCAUUUUGAUUUUAAAAAAAAUUAAUGUGGUGAUUUGAUAAUCCUAUCAAAAUUUAGAAUCCGAGCCUUGAUUUGAAAUUUUUUGUUGAAUUUUAUGCAUGAUAUAUGUUUAUCAAUCGAUAUCUCGAGCCACCAUGAUUGUCAAAUACAAGAUUUAAACCAAUAAGUUUAAAAGACACAUGACGAACAUGCAGCCAUCCAUGCUUUAAUUAAUCGAAUCUUAUACACUUUAAAGCACGAGUAAAACACCUUGUGGGACAGAACAAGUGGUCCAUGCAUGAGGCAUAGGUUGUACAUGUAAUUAUUUAUAUAGGACAAACUCAUCAAAGGAUUAAUUAUGUUUAGGAAUAUGGUUUUUUUAAAAAAAAAUUAAAUUAUUUUUUGACGUUUCCGGUUAAAAAUAUUAUUUAAUAUAUUUCUAAAUAAUUUAUUAUAAUUCUAAAUACCUCAGUAAUGAACAUCGCGACUACGGAAAUAUGAAACAAAUUGGAGACAUUCGAUGAAUAUGGAAGACAAAAUGAGAAAUACUGGACCACGUAAAUCACUUUUGUGGGACAAAACAAGGAGUCCAUGCAUGAGGCACAGGCUGUACAUGUAAUUAUUUACAUAGGAAAAACUCGUGGAAAGAUUAAUUAAUACUGUGUUUAAAAAUAUAAUUGAAAUUGUAUUUUUAAAAAAAUUUAAAUUAUUUUUUAUAUUGUUUUGAUGUGCUAAUAUUAAAAAUAUUUUUUUUUAAAUAUAAUAUUUUAAUAUGUUUUCAAAUAAAAAACUUUAAACCACAAUUAUUACUAUAAUUUUAAAUACCUUCAUAUUUAAAUGUUGUAAUUAUAAAAACAUAUAUAAAAUAAAUUGGAAACAUUCAAUGAAUAUAGAAGAAAAAACAAGAGAUUUAGUUUAAAAUAGUCCAAGAAAAAUUUUUAUUUUUUAUAUUUAUAUUUUUCAAACCAAAUAUAUUUCUUUUCACACUAUCUUUAUUAAUUUUUUCUUUUUUAAAAAAUAACUAAACACUAUUCUUUUCUUUUUUCCCUGUUAUAGUAACUAAACCAUGCCUUAAAAAGUAGAAAUUAGGGACUAGAUUUUUAUGGAAAAAUUUAUAAUCCAUCACUAUCAUCUAUGCGUUAAGUGGUCGGAUUUAUAUCUAUAUNNNNNNNNNNNNNNNNNNNNNNNNNNNNNNNNNNNNNNNNNNNNNNNNNNNNNNNNNNNNNNNNNNNNNNNNNNNNNNNNNNNNNNNNNNNNNNNNNNNNAUAACCACCACACCACAAUACUGCAGCAGUAGCUUCCCCAGGCUCUAUUACCGAUCCUAAUACUUUAGCUGAGCAAUUUCAGAAGUUUCUCUCCUUGCAGCCACAAGCAAUGUCCGCUUCUUCCAUAGGUCAGUUGCCUCAUAAUUCCUCAGGUAUGUCACACUCUGAAUGGGUCUUGGAUUCUGGUGCUUCACAUCAUAUGUCUCCAGAUUCCUCAUCUUUUACCUCAGUGUCCCCUUUGUCCUCCAUUCCUGUUAUGACUGCUGAUGGCACUCCUAUGCCCUUAGCAGGUGUUGGUUCUGUUGUCACACCUCACUUGUCUCUCCCUAAUGUUUAUCUUAUUCCAAAACUCAAAUUGAAUCUUGCGUCUGUUGGUCAAAUAUGUGAUUCUGGUGAUUAUUUAGUCAUGUUUUAUGGUUCUUUUUGUUGUGUACAGGAUCUGCAGUCUCAGAAGCUGAUUGGGACAGGCCGUAGGGAGAAUGGGCUAUAUAUUUUGGAUGAGUUAAAAGUGCCAGUUGCUGCUGCUGCCGCUGCUGCUACUACUGCUGAUUUGUCUUCCUUUCGUUUGAGUCUUUCAUCUUCUAGUUUUUAUUUAUGGCAUUCCCGUCUAGGUCAUGUUUCGUCUUCUCGUUUGAGAUUUUUGGCAUCCACAGGAGCUUUAGGAAAUUUGAAAACUUGUGACAUUUCUGAUUGUAGUGGAUGUAAACUGGCAAAAUUUUCUGCUUUACCUUUUAAUCGAAGUAUUUCUGUUUCAUCUUCACCAUUUGAUUUGAUUCAUUCUGAUGUAUGGGGACCUUCUCCUGUUUCCACAAAAGGAGGGUCUCGAUAUUAUGUCUCUUUUAUUGAUGAUCAUACUCGUUAUUGUUGGGUUUAUUUAAUGAAACAUCGUUCUGAAUUCUUUAAGAUAUAUGCAGCUUUUCGAGCUCUUAUCAAAACUCAACAUUCUGCUGUGAUCAAAUGCUUUAGGUGUGAUUUGGGUGGGGAAUACACCUCUAAUAAAUUUUGUCAAAUGCUUGCCUUAGAUGGAACCAUCCACCAAACUUCAUGUACAGAUACUCCUGAACAAAAUGGUGUAGCUGAAAGAAAACAUAGGCAUAUUGUCGAAACUGCUCGUUCUCUCUUGUUGUCUGCUUUUGUUCCUAGUGAAUUUUGGGGAGAAGCUGUUCUUACUGCUGUAAGUUUGAUUAAUACAAUUCCAUCUUCUCAUAGUUCGGGUCUAUCUCCUUUUGAAAAGCUAUAUGGGCAUGUCCCUGAUUAUUCCUCAUUUAGAGUCUUUGGUUGUACUUGUUUCGUUCUUCGUCCUCAUGUAGAACGCAAUAAGCUAUCCUCUCGAUCCGCUAUUUGUGUCUUUCUGGGUUAUGGUGAAGGUAAAAAGGGGUAUCGUUGUUUUGAUCCAAUAACUCAGAAACUUUAUGUGUCUCGUCAUGUUGUCUUCCUUGAGCAUAUACCUUUCUUUUCUAUUCCAUCCACUACUCAUAGCCUGACAAAAUCUGAUCUUAUUCAUAUAGAUCUUUUUUCUGAAGAUUCUGGUAAUGAUACCUCUCCCUAUGUUCGAUCAAUUUGUACUCAUAACUCUGCAGGUACUGGUACUUUACUCUCUGGCACACCUGAAGCUCCAUUCUCAUCUACAGCCCCUCAAGCUUCAUCUGAGAUUGUGGAUCCACCUCCACGUCAGUCCAUCCGCAUUCGUAAGUCCACAAAAUUACCAGAUUUUGCUUAUUCUUGUUAUUCUUCAUCAUUUACUUCCUUUUUAGCUUCUAUUCAUUGUCUCUUUGAGCCCUCUUCCUAUAAAGAGGCAAUUCUUGAUCCGCUUUGGCAGCAAGCUAUGGAUGAGGAACUUUCUGCUUUGCAUAAGACAGAUACUUGGGAUCUGGUUCCUCUACCUCCUGGUAAGAGUGUUAUUGGUUGUCGUUGGGUGUAUAAGAUCAAGACUAAUUCUGAUGGGUCUAUUGAGCGAUACAAAGCUAGGCUGGUUGCAAAAGGAUACUCUCAACAGUAUGGUAUGGACUAUGAGGAGACAUUUGCCCCGGUUGCCAAAAUGACUACUAUUCGUACUCUUAUUGUCGUAGCUUCGAUUCGUCAGUGGCAUAUUUCUCAGCUUGAUGUUAAAAAUGCAUUCUUGAAUGGAGAUCUUCAAGAAGAAGUUUAUAUGGCACCCCCUCCUGGUAUUUCACAUGACUCUGGAUAUGUUUGUAAGCUUAAGAAAGCAUUAUAUGGUCUCAAACAAGCACCUCGUGCUUGGUUUGAGAAAUUCUCUAUUGUGAUCUCGUCUCUUGGCUUUGUUUCUAGCAGUCAUGAUUCUGCUCUUUUUAUUAAGUGCACUGAUGCAGGUCGUAUCAUUCUGUCUUUAUAUGUUGAUGACAUGAUUAUUACUGGUGAUGAUAUUGAUGGUAUUUCAGUUUUGAAGACAGAGUUGGCUAGACGAUUUGAAAUGAAGGAUUUGGGUUAUCUUCGAUAUUUCCUGGGUAUUGAGGUAGCAUACUCACCUAGAGGUUACCUUCUUUCUCAGUCGAAAUAUGUUGCAGAUAUUCUUGAGCGGGCUAGACUUACUGAUAACAAGACUGUAGAUACUCCUAUUGAGGUCAACGCGAGGUACUCUUCUUCUGAUGGUUUACCUUUGAUAGAUCCUACUUUAUACCGUACUAUUGUUGGGAGUUUGGUAUAUCUCACCAUUACUCGUCCAGAUAUUGCAUAUGCUGUUCAUGUUGUUAGUCAGUUUGUUGCUUCUCCUACUACUGUUCACUGGGCAGCUGUUCUUCGUAUUUUGCGAUAUCUUCGGGGUACAGUUUUUCAGAGUCUGUUACUUUCAUCCACCUCUUCCUUGGAGUUGCGUGCAUACUCUGAUGCUGAUCAUGGUAGUGAUCCCACAGAUCGCAAGUCUGUUACCGGGUUCUGUAUCUUUUUAGGUGAUUCUCUUAUUUCUUGGAAGAGCAAGAAACAAUCUAUUGUUUCUCAAUCAUCCACCGAAGCAGAAUAUCGUGCCAUGGCAUCUACUACCAAAGAGAUUGUUUGGCUGCGUUGGUUACUUGCUGAUAUGGGAAUUUCCUUUUCUCAUCCUACUCCUAUGUAUUGUGACAAUCAGAGUUCUAUUCAGAUUGCUCAUAACUCGGUUUUUCAUGAGCGCACUAAGCACAUUGAGAUCGAUUGUCAUCUUACUCGUCAUCAUCUCAAACAUGGCACCAUUGCUUUGCCUUUUGUUCCUUCUUCCUUGCAGAUUGCAGAUUUCUUUACCAAGGCGCAUUCCAUCUCUCGUUUUCGUUUUCUGGUUGGCAAACUCUCGAUGCUUGUAGCUGCCGCAUCGUGAGUUUGAGGGGAGAUGUUCACUAAUAUUUAUGUAGUCUUAUUUAUUAAGGGUAGAAUAGUACUUUCAGUUUGACCUAUAUAUACUUUAUUUGUAUUUAGGUUAACACUAUGCAUUCAUAAUAAACAGAUUAUUCAGAAUUGUAGCCUCCUUUUUGUAGUUGAUCUCAAUUACUUUAACACGGAUAACUGAAACAUAACCUGCCAAGACAGAAAACCACCAGAACUUGACAGAACCAGUUGCUACCCAAAUCCAAUGAUAAAACGAUUCAAAUCCGACAGUAAAAAUACAUUUCAUUUCAAAACAAAUCGAUUUUUGACCUCCAAAACAAGUUUAGUGAAUAUCUUUUUAAAUCUGCAUAUAAAAUCAAUAAUCCACGGCACCACAAACGAGCACAUAUUCACUUGAUCAAUCACAAUCAUACAAAAAAUAAGAUUAAUAUUGUUGUCUUUUUUAUUUUACUGAAUGUUUUUUUACAGCCUUUCAUAUUUGAUUUUAAAAAAACAACUCGAUGAGUUUUCUUUGAGUGCCUAUUUUUAUUAUUAUAUUGCUAAAUGAAAGAUAGUUUCAAAAAAAUAAAAUGAUUGAACCAAGUCGGAUUCAUUUAAUAUGUUAUUGGUUUUAAUAUUUUAAAAAAUUAAACUGAGUUUAUUUUUGAAAAAAAUCAAAUAUUUUUCGUUGCUUAAUGUUAAAGAACCAAUUAACCUAAAAGUUUAAGUUGUUAGGUAAGGUUGCAAGAUAUGAUUUAUAUUAUUUUCUAAUACACCCUUUGAAGUAAAAAGUUCUUUUAACUUGAAACUUGCACAAAUUUAUAAUACAUUGCAAUUGAUUUUUAUCAAAUAAAAGGGACAGUGAGAUUUGAAUUCGUGAUUACUUUGUCAUUAAAGCUCUGAUAUCAUGUUAAAGAAUUAAUUAAAUCUAAAAAACUAUUAGGUAAGAACUCAAAAUAUAAUUUAUAUUAUUUUUUAAUAUUUAAAAAUAUAUUAAUAGAACAUGUAUGUUUUUUUCCGACCUACAUUCCAUUAUUGUUUCCAUAAUUGAAAUUUCUCGUUGGUAUCUUUUACUAACCAAGUCUUUCCGCACUGGAUAGGCUUCUCAUCACACCAUUGCCACAUGGACUAGAAGACAAAUUUCCUGACUUGAAAUCGAAGAGGGAGAUGAGACAAUUUAGAAUAACACUAGUUAUAUAUGCUCCGCGUGAUGCCGUGAAUUAAUUAUUUUUUGCAUUUUAAAAAUAACCAAAAUAUAGAAUAUAGAAUUCAGAUCUUAAACCAAACCGACUACAUGAUCAGGUCUGAAAAGUAUGCAUGAUAGAUGUUUAUCAAUCGAUCUCUCGAGCCGCCAUGAUUGUCAAAUACAAGAUUUAAACCAAUAAUAAUAAUAAAUAAAUAAAAGACACAUGACGAACAUGGAGCCAUCCAUGCUUUAAUUAAUCGAAUCUUAUACACUAUAGGACAAAACAGGUGGUCCAUGCAUGAGGCAUAGCGCAAUAAUUUAUAGUUUUGUCAAACAGGGUGUACAUGUAAUUAUUUAUAUAUGACAAACGCAUUGAAAGAUUAAUUCACAUCAUGUUUAGAAAUAUAGUUAGAAUUGUUUUUUUUAAUUUAAAAUUGUUUUCAAUUUAAAAUUAUUUUUAUAUUUUUAUAUUGUUUUGAUAUGUUGAUAUUAAAAAUAAUUUUUUUAAAAUAAAAAAUAUUAUUUUAAUAUAUUUUUAAAUAAAAAAAAACUUCAAAAAAUUAUAGCAAUGAACAUUGCAACUAUGGAAAUAUGAAACAAGUUGGAGACGUUCAAUGAAUAUGAAAGACAAAACGAGAAAUCCAGGACCACGCAAAUUUCUAAGAACAAAAAUUAGCAUGGCCUACAACUAGUCAAACCUAUAUUUUGUGGGAACCCCGAAAAAAUAUACAUGUUUUCAAAUAUUAAUUCAUUUUAAGAACAAAAAAUAUAAUUUGUGCAAAAAAUCAUUCUUAUUUAUCCCAAAAACAUAUGCUUUAUAUCACACAAAUAUAUAUUCUUCAAUUGCAAUGAAUCUUUUUACAUUUACUUAUCAAUUAAAUUGAAUAAAAUCAUUAAAACUACAAGAAUAAAAUGAAAAAUAAAUCAUUAUUUGUGAGUAAUCAAAACCUUAUUGAAAUUAUAAAUGGAUUGAAAUAAAAAGAUUAUGUAUGUGAUGCACACUUCUCUGUAGCGUUUGACUACUAUCUCGAGAUAAAGAUGCCAAAUAACUAUCUCAACUCAAUAGAUUAAGUUAUUAGAUAAGAUUCUAAGAUAUAAUUUAUAUUAUUUUUUAACAUACCCCUCAAGUGAAAGCCAUUUGAACUUAAAAUUUGGACAGACUCACACUAUCCUGCACUUAUUUUUUAUCAACUAAAUAGGGAUAGUGAGAUUCGAACUUGUAACUGUUUGGUCAUCAAGACUCUGAUAUCAUAUAAAAAAAUCAAUUCAACCUAAUAACUUAAGUUGUUAGGUGAGGUCUCAUGAUAUGAUUUAUAUUAUUUUCUAACAUAUUCACUCGAAUAAAAGUUUUUUGGGUUUAUUCUAUUAGUUGGGAUAAGAGGAACAUGUUCUUUAUAUACUUUUUAUUUUGAAAUUACAUAAAUUUAGUUUAAAACAGUCUUAAAGAAAAUUUUAUUUUUAUAUUUUUAUUUUUAUUUCUCUAACCAAACAUGCUUCACUCCACAUUAUCUUUAUUAAUUUCUUCUUUCUCGAAAAAGUAACUAAACACUAUUCUUCUUCUUCUUUUUUUACUGUAAUAGUAACUAAACCAUGCCUUAAAAAACUAGAAAUUAGGGACUAGAUUUUUUAUGGAAAAAAUUAUAAAUCCCAUCACUAAUCAUCUAUACGUUUAAGUGGUCGGAUUUUAUAAUCUAAUAUAAGCACGAGAAAAACAAUUUUGUGGGAUAAAUCAAGUAAGCAAGUGGUCCAAGAGGCGAGAGCUCCAAAGCCCAAACCUACCCGACAAGUCUCUGUCAGAGGACAAUAAUUUGUAGUUUCGUCGAGCAAGUGGCACUCGUUUAAUUAAUUGUAACUAAUAAUCCAAAUCCUUUCUCCCUAUAAAUUCAUGGUCUCUGUUCAAUCUUUGAACACAUCAACAACAAGACUCAAUAUUGGGAUAUAACUAUUACUUAUCAGAUUCAACAAUGAAGAUUACUAACUUUCUAGUGCUCUCCUUUCUUCUCUUUGCCUUCACGGCAACUUCAAUAUUUCCUCGUGCCGUUCAUGCUGAAGCAGUGAUCGAUGCCUUCGGUGAUGAGGUUAGAACUGGUGAUCGUUAUAUCAUCGGAGCCGCUUCGAAUGACUUUGCGGUCACUUCCAGCCGUAUCAUAUGCAAUUCAGAUGUUAUGUUUUCUCCAAUGAGCCAUGGACUCCCAGUAAUAUUUUCACCAGUUGUAGAAUCCAACGACAGUGUCAUCCAUGAAGACAGUAAUCUGAAUGUGGACUUUGAUGCAGCCACAUGUAGAAUGGCGGGCGUAUCAACCAUGUGGAAGAUUGAAAUGAGGCCAACAGCGCGAGGAUUCGUUGUGACCACAGGAGGUGUUGCUGGAUUGAAUCGGUUCAAGAUCACCAAGUAUGAAGGUGGUAAUAAUUUGUAUCAGCUUUCUUACUGUCCAAUUUCGGAACCCAUAUGUAAAUGCUCAUGCGUC
RNAcentral lists this long non-coding RNA (18779 nucleotides) under Populus trichocarpa (black cottonwood). RNAcentral's name for it is "long non-coding RNA (PTRI_LNC004279)". The record is from RNAcentral. Lineage: Eukaryota; Viridiplantae; Streptophyta; Magnoliopsida; Malpighiales; Salicaceae.